Molecule: ribosomal RNA, 713 nt
Filed under: uncultured archaeon
Lineage: Archaea
Description: bacterial SSU rRNA
Rfam family: Archaeal small subunit ribosomal RNA
Source: RNAcentral
GCGAGUCGUGAGUCUUAGGGACUCGGCAUACUGCUCAGUAACACGUGGAUCAUCUGCCCUAUCGUCUGGAAUAACCUCGGGAAACUGAGAAUAAGGCCGGAUAGUUCACAAUGCCUGGAACGGUUUGUGAAUCAAGGUAGGAUGGGUCUGCGGCGUAUCAGGUUGUAGGGGGUGUAAAGGACCCCCUAGCCUUCGACGCGUACGGGUGUUGGGAGACAUAGCCCGGAGAUGGAUUCUGAGACACGAAUCCAGACCCUACGGGGUGCAGCAGGCGCGAAAACUUCACACUGCAGGAAACUGUGAUGAGGGAACUCCUAGUGCAUGCACUAUGUGUAUGUAGAUCCUACUCUUAACAAGUAGAGGGAAAGGGCUGGGAAAGACCGGUGCCAGCCGCCGCGGUAAUACCGGCAGCUCAAGUGGUCGUCGCUUUUAUUGGGCCUAAAACGUCCGUAGCCUGUUUGGUAAAUCUGUGGGUAAAUCAAUCCGCUCAACGGAUUGAAUUCUGCAGAGACUGCCAGACUAGGGACCGGGAGAGGUGUGGGGUACUCGAGGGGUAGGGGUAAAAUCCUGUCAUCCUUCGAGGACCACCAGUUGCGAAGGCGCCACACUGGAACGGAUCCGACGGUCAGGGACGAAGCCUAGGGGCACGAACCGGAUUAGAUACCCGGGUAGUCCUAGGUGUAAACGCUGUGAACUUGGUGUCGGGGGUCCGC